Sarcophilus harrisii (Tasmanian devil) is the source of this 2374-nucleotide long non-coding RNA. RefSeq lists it as uncharacterized. The transcript is spliced from 6 exons. Lineage: Eukaryota; Metazoa; Chordata; Mammalia; Dasyuromorphia; Dasyuridae. The record is from RefSeq and is a predicted model, not a curated record.
AAAGCUAUCCCUCAUUUGAGGUCUUAGUUUUUUACUGAGUGAGCUGAGAUCCUUCCUAUUUAUUGAUAAAUCAUGCUUGGAAAUUUGUACUUCAGUUUACUUUAUUUUGACUGUAUCAAUACCAGACUCACAAAGGUGUGGAAGAAGAAUUCUUUUUGGACAGAAGAGAAAAGAGCAAAAUGGCUGAGGGAGCUGAGAGCCAAAAGAAGUUUGGAGAUAAUAAGCAAGCAGUAAGCUGCCUUUGAUGAAUUCAAAUCACCAGAGAGUAUAUUCUAGAUGCUUGCCUUCUCUAAUAUGGGGUUGGAAGGGAAGGAGGGAAAAAGGCAACUCAGAACUGAAAAAAGUAACGAAAAGAAAGACUGUGGGUGAAUGAGAAACACAGUGGGACUGGAAAGAGACAAAAGUUGCCCCAGUCUUCACAAAAAGGAAAGCAGCAAGGUUGCUGUUCAGUGCCCAAGACCCAUCUAUGGGAACAAAGUACAGUUAUAUGGAAAUCAGCUUAAAAGGAAUUAGUGACCAAGCUGAGAAGAACAGAUAAGAAGACUAAUAUCUUGGGAGGAGAGAUGAUUCAUCCAAGUCCUAGGUCAAUACCCUGCUUGAAGGCAGAAGGAAGCUGAAGCUGAAACGUGGGAUGAAGAAGUCAGCCUUUGAAACUGUAGAAGGAAAUGGAGAUCAGAGAUAAAACACACAUUCAGAUACCAUCCAUCCCACUCCUUAUGUAUCUCUGCCCCAGGCUACCAUUUCCAGCCCCCAUCCCUCUACUAAAACUUCUCUAAGAGCUAAGAGCUAAGAGCCAUGGUGAGGAUUCCAGGGACUGUUGGGAAAUCCAGGAGACCUUGGGCAAAGGGUAGCUUCUCUUCCCUUCCCUUACACUACCCCUGCCCAGCUAUUGCUCUGAGACUGAGAUACCUGAACCACUCUGGUGGUAGCUUCUUUGGACUGGUGGUGACUGGGUUCUAGGGCCUUCCUCCCUCAGUUCCCAGUUGAUCAAUCACAGGUUACAAACCUCCACUUACCUCUUUAUUUUUUGCUUUUGGAGGACAUAGAGCAAGGAUAUGCUGAAUAACAAUAUCACUUUCAGCGUCAGGAGGAAAAUUAUAAAGAAUUGUCCAGAAAUUCCCCUUUUCCUGGAGGUUAAAAUGAGAAAAGGAACUAUUAUAAAGGAGGUGAGUAGUGGGUAAUUUGUGAGCAACUGAUAUCACAUAGUCUAGCUAUUUUCUUAUUCUGAGACCAAUUGCAUCUAGCUAAGAGUCUGGAGUCUCAGCUAAUCUUCUUUCAUGGGAGCCUCCUACAGUCAUCCUUAGAUCAACAUCAAUAAUAAAUGGAUCAAAAACCAUUUAUUAAAACACUGUUAUUAAUGCACUGUGCUAAGUGCUAAGGUCCAGAGCAUGGGCACAUAUUACAGGGAAUGACUGACCUCACCCCAUUAUUUAUGUGAUCUUACUGGAUAAAAUCUUGUUCUUGGAAGGAGAUGAGGCUAUUAUUGUUUAAAUCCAAAGACCAAAAGAAGAUCCCUUCUUUGUUACUUACUAUCAAGACUUCUUUAGGAAAGUCACCCAUCCUCCCUUGGCCUAAUUUUUGCCAUCUCUGUGACAUCUGAGGGCACAUUCCAAUUCACAUGGGUUGUCUCAUAACAAGCUACCUGAUGAGCCUUACUAUAUUUGUUUUUACUGGACAGAGACCAUAAUUAAUCAAAUUUUAAAAAAAGACAUUUAAUGAAAUAGUAUAGUGAAAAAAAGUAGCAAUUUUUCUCCCUUAAUCCUGGGGUCUAUUCUCCCAUAGAUACGCAUACCAUCAGUGAAAAGAGUAGAUACCCCAAAGGAACAAGAAUGAUUCGAUCAUACUCAUAAAGAGCACAGAAAUGCAAAAUUUUUGACUAACACAUAUGUGUAGAUGGGCACACACAUAGUAUAAUUGAACGAAUAAGAGAUGUUGAAUCAGUAAAGACACAGAAGUGACUUCCUCUAGAUGGAGGAGAGGUUAGUAUGAGAAGUCAGCUAUCAUACCCAGGGUCAUUUGUACUGUAGAGAAUAUCGUUAGUCUUUGACCCCCUCCACCUUCCAUACAGACAUUUAAAAAAUGGUAAUUUCUUCAGAGGUAAUUUUCCCUCAAUGUAGAUUUCUGGAUGAUUGCCACUGAAUAUGUCUCUAAUGACAAGAUGCCUAUUCACUGCCACAAAGCCUCUUCAUAUCAUUGACAUGGUUCUUUAAGUUCAAAGCCACAUGGAUCCUAAUCUGGUACCCUAUCCAUUGUACCACACUGCCCCUUUGGGACUAAGAAUUAGGAAAUUAGGACCACAGCCAUGUUACUUAUUUCCUCAGCAAACCCGAACAAAUCAUUUCCCCUUUGGCUUCAGUUUUCCUAAUUGUAAAAU